CUCUGAGGGGUUUGUGGGGCCCUUGGGGCCUCCUGGGAACGUCCCAGGUGCUUCGGCCCAAGAUCUGUGCUGAUUCAAUGCCACCCCCACAGCUGGGCAGAGCCUUGAGAUGGACACUGCCUGCAAACCCUGCCCAGCCUAGAGCUGAGCAUGGGGCUUUGGGGCCCCCCAAUGGCUCUGCUCAUUCUUCAGGGCCAGGGACCACCUUCUGGAGCCUGAGCCAGAACCUGAGCCUCCCUUCAGGCUCUUCUCUCAGCUCUUCUCUCAGCCACACCACCACCCCCUGCCCACUUCUCACCGCCCAGCCCACAUCAAGCCCUAAUUCUACCCUUUUUAUUCCAUGUAAGAGCUUGCCCAAAAGGAGCUCUUGCCCCUAGCAACAGAAAAAGGCUUCUGUUCUUAGAAAUACAGCAGCCAUUUGUCCAUCCCUGGAGACCCUCUUGUUCUGCCCUAGUAAAUCACCUUCCAAGCUGUGGCCAGAAAUUGGCUUUUCUUCCAUUUCUACUUCCUUGCUGAAGCCACCUUCUCCACCUGUCUGGUGUUCAUUGCACCAGGCAUCCUGCUAUUGCUAUUCUAUACUGGGGUUCUGGAGCAGCAGGAGUGUGGCCCCAAGGCAGGAAGGCCUCCCGUUGCCUUGAUGACAUUCAGCAAAUCACUCUUGCCCUGGGGACCAGGUUUUCCUUCUGUAAAAUGAGGGGGAGUGGACCUCAUCAUCUCUGAUUCCUUCCAGCUUUAGAAUCUGUUUCUGUGAUGAUGUUGGGGAUUGUGCAGAACUAGUUUCCUUUGUUUACAAGAUGUGGAGACUAAGAAACCCAUAGAAGUGUGAAGUAUAGAGUAUCAAGAGCACUCCCUCUGCCUGUUCUGGGAUGUACACUGUUACCCACACUUCCAGGGAGAAAGCGCCCUGGUUGAGGGAGUGGUGCCAAUGUGCAGACACAUCCCAGCCUGGGACCCAGGGCUGCCCGUGCCCAUCCCCCAAUAGCCCUGCUGCUCCCUUCCCCCUCGCCUCCCUCCAGGGCUGUUGAGAGGAAGAAACGAGAUGCUCCAUCUCCAGAUGCCCUGCCCAUAGGAAGGCCCAUGCAGAUCCUCGGGACUAUGCUCUGUUCUGUUCAAUCCACCUGGUGGGUCUGACGACCCGGACAUGGCCCUGCCUUCCAGGGAGUAGACACUGUGUCUGCACUGUGCUCCUCUCUUGUGACAAGAGCAGGCUUGGUGCUAUGGAGGCUCCCCAGGGCUUCCUAUAGGAGCAUUAAUCACUGAAGGAAGGGCCAGGGCAGUAGCAGGCCAGGGACAGUGGGCCCUUCCACGGAGCACAGAGCAGUGGGCCCCGCAGGAGAGGCAGGUAGGGGCGGAGGUGAGGCACUCAGGAACAACACAGCCCUGACUCCACAGCCCGACAAGGGAUUUUAUGGAAUACUUGAGAAAAAAAUCAUCAGUGAAUAUGAUGGAUGCCCCCCAGCAGAGGUGCAGGGGUCCCCCUUUUUGGAUCCAGGAAGCAAAAAGCUGGGGUCCUGGCCUGAGUCUGAGCAGAGGACAGUUUUGAACAAGGAGGUCCACAGGGCAAGAGGAGGGUGGGAGUGCUCCCACGCACAUGGAUCACUGUGCUUUGGAGUAUGUGUCCCCACUGAUGGGGAUGAGGAUGAGUGUGAGACCAAAGGCAGCCCUCUUGGGGUAGGCAGGGGCCAAGGCCCACAGGUGGGGGCUGGGGAGGAUGUGUUCUUAACAGGCGUGGCCAGACCCCUCCUCCUUCAGAAGACCUGGAAGAAGCAGGUGGAGGGAGAAGCAGAGUCACAGAGGCAAGGCAGAGACUCAGAGGCCCGGAGACUGGGGUGGCCGCGGGCAGGGCCUCCCCAGCCCCACUGCUUUCCGAGCUAGCUAUCUCCAGGAGGCCAGCCUGCCCACUGGGCCCCAAAGCCCCAACCCCCAGGUGGCCCUCCCCUCUUGCAGCUGCCACAGUUUCUGCAGGGCUGCUUUGUCAGACUCUUAGAACACAAGCAGCAGAACUAGGAAGGCCCUCAGAAUGAAGGAGACGCAGGCACCGUGGGAGCCCAGGGCCCCUUUCCAUUGCACCAGUGCUCCAUCCUCCCACAUCUCCCAAAGAUCAGCCCUCCUCAGUGACCCCGGGAGCCCAGGAAGAUCAAGGAUCGAGACUGUCGCCCUGGACCUGCCUGCUGUGUAGCUCUGGGUGCAAGUCAAAGAUCAAGCUGAAGUAAAGUUCACCUGCAUCUCGUUAUUGGGCCAUGAGAAAUAGCAGCCCGACCCUCAGUUUGAUCCAGGAACAAUCUCACCAGGGCUUGCCAUCAGCCCAGGACAAUUGACAAGACCUUCAUAGGUCUUUUUCGGCUCCCUGCACACCCAGAACAGGAGCAUUUAAGAGAAGUGUUGCUUUUCAUUUGUUCUGAAGACACUGCUCUCGGGCACCAGAUAAACCAACCGAGCGAUUCACAGAACCCCUAGCAUGGGCCACAAACCAAACACGCAGAGCCGCAGCGAGGACAGAGGGUGCCGCGUGGCCCUUCCUGACAUUCUUUCAUCUGCACACUGUACCGUCAACUCAUUUUCUGCACGGAAUGAAGAUACAUCACUCUGCUCCGGAAAACUACAUUUAGCAUCUCCUUCUUUUUGUGGGGCAGGGAAGUUUUCAUCGACAAAGCGUUUGUAUUGCAGAUGGCUCACCAUAUGCCACGUUCCUGCACGUUAUCACCUUGUAAGCAGAUUCUGUCAGGUUUUAGGAGUAAAAGCUUAAUUAACAAGUGGUGUGUACAAUUAUGUACUUAAUUAUCUACUGCUUUUAUUUCUUUGUUGUUUCUUGUUUUCCAAAAGUUUGGUAACAAUUACAGGCAAC
This 2845-nucleotide long non-coding RNA is filed under the name Pan troglodytes (chimpanzee). RNAcentral's name for it is "long non-coding RNA NONPTRT014603". Lineage: Eukaryota; Metazoa; Chordata; Mammalia; Primates; Hominidae. The record is from RNAcentral.